Molecule: ribosomal RNA, 749 nt
Filed under: uncultured delta proteobacterium
Lineage: Bacteria; Deltaproteobacteria
Description: bacterial SSU rRNA
Rfam family: Bacterial small subunit ribosomal RNA
Source: RNAcentral
AGAGUUUGAUCCUGGCUCAGAAUGAACGCUGGCGGCGUGCUUAACACAUGCAAGUCGUACGAGAACUCUUCUGCUUGCAGAAGAUAGUAAAGUGGCGCACGGGUGAGUAACGCGUGGGUAAUCUACCUCCGACUCGGGGAUAACAUUGCGAAAGUGAUGCUAAUACCGGAUAAUAUCUAUUUUGCUUCGGCAUUUUAGAUCAAAGGUGGUCUCUACAUGUAAGCUACUGAUUGGAGAUGAGCCCGCGUACCAUUAGCUUGUUGGUAGGGUAAUGGCCUACCAAGGCUACGAUGGUUAGCUGGUCUGAGAGGAUGAUCAGCCACACUGGAACUGACACACGGUCCAGACUCCUACGGGAGGCAGCAGUGAGGAAUUUUGCGCAAUGGGGGAAACCCUGACGCAGCAACGCCGCGUGAGUGAUGAAGGCUUUCGGGUCGUAAAGCUCUGUCAAGUGGGAAGAAAAAGCCUGAUGCUAAUACUAUCAGGAACUGACGGUACCACUGAAGGAAGCACCGGCUAACUCCGUGCCAGCAGCCGCGGUAAUACGGGGGGUGCAAGCGUUAUUCGGAAUCAUUGGGCGUAAAGAGCGCGUAGGCGGCCUCUUAAGUCAGAUGUGAAAGCCCGGGGCUUAACCCCGGAAGUGCAUUUGAAACUAUUGGGCUUGAGUAUGGGAGAGGGAAGUGGAAUUCCUGGUGUAGAGGUGAAAUUCGUAGAUAUCAGGAGGAACACCGGUGGCGAAGGCGACUUCC